Molecule: non-coding RNA, 77 nt
Organism: Paramuricea clavata
Lineage: Eukaryota; Metazoa; Cnidaria; Anthozoa; Malacalcyonacea; Plexauridae
Source: the annotation of a GenBank genome assembly
GACCGCGUAGCUCAGUUGGCAGAGCAUUGGGCUAGUAUCCCAAGGUCGUACAGUAGGUUCGAAUCACACCGUGGCCA